This 253-nucleotide ribosomal RNA is filed under the name uncultured bacterium. Its description in RNAcentral is "partial 16S ribosomal RNA". It matches the Rfam family "Bacterial small subunit ribosomal RNA", at positions 524 to 776 of the family's 1533-position model. The record is from RNAcentral.
UACGUAGGGGUCUAGCGUUGUCCGGAAUUAUUGGGCGUAAAGAGCUCGUAGGCGGCUUGUCACGUCGGGUGUGAAAGCCCGGGGCUUAACCCCGGGUCUGCAUUCGAUACGGGCAGGCUAGAGUGUGGUAGGGGAGAUCGGAAUUCCUGGUGUAGCGGUGAAAUGCGCAGAUAUCAGGAGGAACACCGGUGGCGAAGGCGGAUCUCUGGGCCAUUACUGACGCUGAGGAGCGAAAGCGUGGGGAGCGAACAGG